Ictalurus punctatus (channel catfish) is the source of this 1633-nucleotide long non-coding RNA. NCBI's taxonomy places the organism in Eukaryota, Metazoa, Chordata, Actinopteri, Siluriformes, Ictaluridae. The record is from Ensembl.
ACUAAACAGAACAGCCAGAAACACUCAGGAAACGCGUGACACGGAACCGAAACGCGCGAGCCCGUGAAUGGAGCGUGUUAACCGGAUGUUCAUCUCAGCUCUCCUAGUCCUCUGCUUGAUGUGGGUGGUUCAUGCCACCCUGUUAGGAGCCCUGCCCACUAGCCAAUCAGGUAAGAGCUUUGAUAAGUAAAUGUGAUAAUUUGAUAAAUGUGGCUCCUCUCUCUCUCCAUCUUUAAGUCUAGAAUACUCGCAAAAAUGUUUCAGUAAGGUCUCAAAUCGACUCUCUAUUCACUACAAAUACUAAUUAAAGCCAUCAUUAUUCUAUUCUGGGUGUGUUCCAAACCGCCCCUUCUAAUCACUACAAAGGCUAAAUAAAUACCACCACAUUUACACUCUGGAUGUGUCCCAAACCUCAUAGUGUAAUCACUACAAAGGCUAAAUAAAUACCAUCAUUACUCCAUUCUGGAUGUGUCCAAAACUACAAAUUCUUAUUCAGCACACAGGUUAAAUAAAUGCUAGGGGUGUAACGAUACACUACAGUUACGAUUCAAAUCGAUUCACGGAACUGGCUUCAAGAUUCAUGAUUCAGUUCUCAGAAUACUUUUAACAAAAUUUGAAUGAAGAAAAAUUUGGACUGAAAAGACUCUUUUAAAUUUUUUAUUUUAUUUCAUUAUUUUUGAACUAAUGUGCAUCUUUGGUCUAUGAAACACUAAAUAAGUUAAAAGUUGCUACAAACAGUUUUAAUAUUGUAAACAAAAUGUACUACAGUAUCUUAAAAAUAAAUACAUGUAUAAAUUCUCCAAGAAAUUUGGCUGUAUAAGCAAAGUCCCAUGGGACAGUGAUGGAUUGAAACGUAUUGAGCUCUGUAGCAGCACCUAAGGCAUCAUUUUAACUGAAAAUAGAGCUGCAAAGUCGGCUAAAAUGCCCGGCUUCUGCAGCCUCUUUAUCGGGCACGGUAGAUCACAGAGGCACCAGGGUGGUGUCGUUUCAAAGCUACCGAAGAGCUCUUUCUAACCGUUAUAAUGUGGUUGUGUAACCAUAUAACUAAUAAUCCUUGUUGGUCAUUGCGAUCUGGUGCUAUCGGCCAAUGCAUAAUUAAUAGAACGCUGAUAUACACAAUGUGAGUCGCACAUUCCCAUGACGCACAUCGUGUAAUUGUCUUGCGUCGUGUAACAAUGCAUCAUUACACCGCUAAUGAAUACCAUCAUUUAUUUCAUUCUGGAGGUGUCCCCAAACCACAUUUCCUAUUCAAUAGAAAGGCUGAAUAACUGCCAUCAUUAUUCCACCGUGGAUGUGUCCCAAACCACACUUCAUAUUCACUACAAAGGCUAAACAUAUAUCAUCACUUUUCCAACGUGGACAUGUUCCAAACCACAAACUCUUAUUCAGUACUAAUGUUAAUGAACAGUCGUAUCAUUCCACGUUAAUGGACCAGUCGAUUGUUAUUCACGAGUUCAAAGGUCAAAAUUUUCUCACAGCAAUGAGUUUAGGAGUUCGAUAUGAUCUGAUAUGAAAGGCAUGGAGGUAUAGUUAGCAGUCGACGGUUUAAAAGGUUAUUAAGGUAAAGUUGCUAAAACGUUAUGUAAGCAGAUUUUUUUUUUUUUUUUUUUUUGUCAGGGGUAUUAGAUUUUCA